This is a small nucleolar RNA of Lolium perenne, 139 nucleotides long. RefSeq annotates it as small nucleolar RNA Z247. The record is from RefSeq and is a predicted model, not a curated record. NCBI's taxonomy places the organism in Eukaryota, Viridiplantae, Streptophyta, Magnoliopsida, Poales, Poaceae.
CCACUUGGAGAUGAGGAGUUUAUCACAUACGUUUUGGAUGGACUUGAUGAGGACUAUGACCCGCUUGUUGCUGUUAUCAACAAUCGCACCACACUGAUUCCAAUACGUGAUCUAUAUGCUCAGUUAUUGAGUAUUGAGC